Molecule: long non-coding RNA, 653 nt
Organism: Microplitis demolitor
Lineage: Eukaryota; Metazoa; Arthropoda; Insecta; Hymenoptera; Braconidae
Exons: 3
Source: RefSeq, a predicted model, not a curated record
ACAAAAUGAGUUAAUGGGAUUAAAAAUGAUUAAUAAUUUUAAUCCUUUCGAAUUAUUUUUUAAAUUUCACGAUUAAUUUUACUAAAUUAUUCUUAAUACUGUAAAAGGUCAUAAUAUUAAAUGAUUUCGAAAGAUUAAAACUUAUAAUCAUGUUUAAUACUUUUAAAUCCUGAUUCUGUUACUGGUUAUGAUAAGAAAUUAUUUAGAUGUUCUGACAACUGCAAAUUGUUGUCAACUUGGAAAUUUUUGACCCUGAAAUCUACUACCGGGUGUACGACUAAAUAAAAGUAACCCUGGCUAUCUGGGAUCUGGGUAUUGAAAAAAUAUAAUCUAGUAAUGAGACCCAGAUAUCUAGGUUUGUUCGGCAAGAGUUUAUUUUAAUUUGAUAAACUGCUGCCAACUAUGAAAUAUUCUAACAUUUGACUACAAUUUGAGUACAACUUGAACCUUAGUUGGUAUGAAUCUGCUACCGCUUUUGAAAGACGUUGACAGAAAGGUUAGCUUAAAGAGAUGUAUGAAACCAGAUUUAUUUUAUCAUAGAAAAAUUAUUCCGUUGAAUUGUACAAGAGAACAUUGAAUGCAGCUUUCCGAGGUCAAAUUAAAAUAAAUGUAAUACUAGUACGUACUGUAACAGAAAAAUAAAUAUUUGUGAA